UGCAGAAUCCCGUGAACCAUCGAGUCUUUGACGCAAGUUGCGCCCGAAGCCAUUAGGCCGAGGGCACGUCUGCCUGGGCGUCACACGUCGUUGCCCCCCCCAACCCCCUCGGGAGUUGGAUGGGACGGAUGAUGGCCUCCCGUGUGCUCAGUCACGCGGUUGGCAUAAAUACCAAGUCCUCGGCGACCAACGCCACGACAAUCGGUGGUUGUCAAACCUCGGUUUCCUGUCGUGCGCGCGUGUUGAUCGAGUGCUCUCUUAAACAAUGCGUGUCGAUCCGUCGAUGCUUUCAACGCGACCCCAGGUCAGGCGGGGUUACCCGCUGAAUUUAA
RNAcentral lists this ribosomal RNA (332 nucleotides) under Rosa environmental sample. RNAcentral describes it as "eukaryotic LSU rRNA". The stretch from base 1 to 83 matches the Rfam family "5.8S ribosomal RNA", at positions 73 to 154 of the family's 154-position model. Lineage: Eukaryota; Viridiplantae; Streptophyta; Magnoliopsida; Rosales; Rosaceae. The record is from RNAcentral.